RNAcentral lists this signal recognition particle RNA (99 nucleotides) under Crocinitomicaceae bacterium. RNAcentral describes it as "signal recognition particle sRNA small type". It matches the Rfam family "Bacteroidales small SRP". Rfam says of the family: The non-coding component of the signal recognition particle in Bacteroides Lineage: Bacteria; Pseudomonadati; Bacteroidota; Flavobacteriia; Flavobacteriales; Crocinitomicaceae. The record is from RNAcentral.
GGGUAAGUCCCGUACGACCAGCUCCUGCUGAAUCCCCCAGGACAGGAAUGUAGCAAGGGUAGGCGGUUGUAGCGGUGCGAUACGGGUAGCUUACCCUUU